This 253-nucleotide ribosomal RNA is filed under the name uncultured bacterium. RNAcentral describes it as "partial 16S ribosomal RNA". It matches the Rfam family "Bacterial small subunit ribosomal RNA", at positions 524 to 776 of the family's 1533-position model. The record is from RNAcentral.
UACGUAGGUGGCAAGCGUUGUCCGGAUUUACUGGGCGUAAAGAGCGCGCAGGCGGUCGGAUAAGUCGAAUGUGAAAGCCCCCGGCUCAACUGGGGAGGGUCAUUCGAUACUGUUCGACUCGAAGGCAGGAGAGGGAAGUGGAAUUCCCGGUGUAGUGGUGAAAUGCGUAGAUAUCGGGAGGAACACCGAUGGCGAAGGCAGCCCCCUGGGCUAACACUGACGCUCAUGCACGAGAGCGUGGGGAGCAAACAGG